Molecule: ribosomal RNA, 497 nt
Filed under: uncultured bacterium
Lineage: Bacteria
Description: partial 16S ribosomal RNA
Rfam family: Bacterial small subunit ribosomal RNA
Source: RNAcentral
GACGAACGCUGGCGGCGUGCCUAAUACAUGCAAGUUGAGCGCUGAAGGUUGGUACUUGUACCAACUGGAUGAGCAGCGAACGGGUGAGUAACGCGUGGGGAAUCUGCCUUUGAGCGGGGGACAACAUUUGGAAACGAAUGCUAAUACCGCAUAAAAACUUUAAACACAAGUUUUAAGUUUGAAAGAUGCAAUUGCAUCAUUCAAAGAUGAUCCCGCGUUGUAUUAGCUAGUUGGUGAGGUAAAGGCUCACCAAGGCGAUGAUACAUAGCCGACCUGAGAGGGUGAUCGGCCACAUUGGGACUGAGACACGGCCCAAACUCCUACGGGAGGCAGCAGUAGGGAAUCUUCGGCAAUGGACGAAAGUCUGACCGAGCAACGCCGCGUGAGUGAAGAAGGUUUUCGGAUCGUAAAACUCUGUUGGUAGAGAAGAACGUUGGUGAGAGUGGAAAGCUCAUCAAGUGACGGUAACUACCCAGAAAGGGACGGCUAACUACGUG